This 337-nucleotide RNase P RNA is filed under the name Anaerolineae bacterium. RNAcentral describes it as "RNase P RNA component class A". It matches the Rfam family "Bacterial RNase P class A". From Rfam's summary of the family: Ribonuclease P (RNase P) is a ubiquitous endoribonuclease, found in archaea, bacteria and eukarya as well as chloroplasts and mitochondria. The record is from RNAcentral. Lineage: Bacteria; Bacillati; Chloroflexota; Anaerolineae.
CAGGUCGGUCGGGUAAUCGCGGUUUCGAAUUCAUUUCGAUAUCGAGGAAAGUCCGCACUUCACAGGGCACGGCGCCGAGGAAAGCUCGGGAUGGAGCAAUCUAUCGGAUCGGGCCACAGAAACAGGUAGCCCUUUUAGGGUCAUAGUGAAAAGGUGGUGUAAGAGACCACCGGUGUCUGCAGCAAUGCAGCCAGCCAGGCAACCCCCGCCGGAAGCAAAGCCAAGCAGAGAUGAUGAGCUGCCCGUUUUUUACAUCUCGGGUAGGCUGCACAGAUAGAUGAUCACCCAAGAGAGAUUUCUCUCCGGACAAAAUGCGGCUUAUAGACCGGCCUGAGGC